AGAAGUAGAGGUGCGGUGAUUAUCAGUAGCCCCUGCCGUCGGACGGAAAUGCGGCGUCGGUGAAAGGAAUAACCGCCGAAGUGAUUACGGUGCACCGUCGCGCCGUAUGAGCUGGGCGCAGUGCGAACAGCGCUGUGACUGUCAUCUUUUUCGGGUGGAGUGCUGCUGC
This 169-nucleotide non-coding RNA is filed under the name human gut metagenome. Its description in RNAcentral is "Lysine riboswitch". It matches the Rfam family "Lysine riboswitch aptamer". From Rfam's summary of the family: Riboswitches are metabolite binding domains within certain messenger RNAs that serve as precision sensors for their corresponding targets. Allosteric rearrangement of mRNA structure is mediated by ligand binding, and this results in modulation of gene expression. The record is from RNAcentral.